UCUAUCUUUCAAUCUACAAUGAUAGCAAUAGUCUAACUGUCAGACCUCCACCCUUCCUUCCUAUUUUUCUGUACAUAUACUCCGCCUAUUUCAGCAUUACACUAAGGAGCUUUCACUGAACUCCGUGUCUGUGUGACUUCUUCCUGAGCUCGGUAAUGAGAGGACUGACAGCAGCGUGGCUCCAAAAAUUUAACUCUGAGGCCGGUAUCAGCGAAAUCAUAACAAUUCUCAAAACAGCAGCUGUUCAUACUACCAAGAAUCCGGAAAGCUUCAAACCAUCGGUCCUGAACACUUACAAAGCACUGACUUGGAGACUCUUUCAAUGGAUUAUGGAACUGCUGAAUGUUUUUAGCCCUGGAUAAAAGAUUUUACCAUCAUGGCACUGGCAGCACUCCCAGGGCAGUGGGGAUGAGUCCAUGUGAUUUUCUUUUCCACAGCAAGCUAAACACCUUCUAUCCUCU
Ictalurus punctatus (channel catfish) is the source of this 461-nucleotide long non-coding RNA. RefSeq lists it as uncharacterized. Lineage: Eukaryota; Metazoa; Chordata; Actinopteri; Siluriformes; Ictaluridae. The transcript has 3 exons. The record is from RefSeq and is a predicted model, not a curated record.